CCUACGGGGGGCAGCAGUGAGGAAUAUUGGUCAAUGGACGAGAGUCUGAACCAGCCAAGUAGCGUGAAGGAUGACUGCCCUAUGGGUUGUAAACUUCUUUUAUAUGGGAAUAAAAUGUUCCACGUGUGGGAUUUUGUAUGUACCAUAUGAAUAAGGAUCGGCUAACUCCGUGCCAGCAGCCGCGGUAAUACGGAGGAUCCGAGCGUUAUCCGGAUUUAUUGGGUUUAAAGGGAGCGUAGGUGGAUUGUUAAGUCAGUUGUGAAAGUUUGCGGCUCAACCGUAAAAUUGCAGUUGAAACUGGCAGUCUUGAGUACAGUAGAGGAUGGCGGAAUGCGUGGUGUAGCGGUGAAAUGCUUAGAUAUCACGAAGAACUCCGAUUGCGAAGGCAGUUCACUGGACUGCAACUGACACUGAGGCUCGAAAGUGUGGGUAUCAAACAGGAUUAGAUACCCUUGUAGUC
Molecule: ribosomal RNA, 460 nt
Filed under: uncultured bacterium
Lineage: Bacteria
Description: partial 16S ribosomal RNA
Rfam family: Bacterial small subunit ribosomal RNA
Source: RNAcentral